RNAcentral lists this long non-coding RNA (764 nucleotides) under Mustela putorius furo (domestic ferret). RNAcentral describes it as "lncRNA (ENSMPUG00000027100.1)". Lineage: Eukaryota; Metazoa; Chordata; Mammalia; Carnivora; Mustelidae. The record is from RNAcentral.
GGGAGAAGCAGAGCAGGGGGCCGACACGGGGCUUAUGCCCAGGACCUCGGGGUCAUGAUCUGAGCUGAAGGAAGAUGCUUCACCACCCAAGCCCCCCAGGCCCCCAUGGGAGGGUCUUCCGAUAUGCCCUGGGCCCCCCUGCCAUUCAGGGACCCCCUAGACCACCCGCUGGCUCCCUCAUUCGCUAGAAGGACUCAGAGCUCAGCCAAGCCCUAUGCUCCCGGGAGGACAGUCCAUUACAGAGGAAGGACACAGGCGGAAAUCAGCAGAGGGAGGAGGUAUGUGGGGCCGGGGCCAGGGCCAGAGAGACCAGGGCCAGGAGUCCUCUCCCCGGGGAGCUGCGUGGACGGAACUCAGCUGUUCAGAACGACAGCAGAACGUGCACAGUGUGUUGCUGAUCACGGCGCGCCCCUGAGCCUUGGCGCCCGUCUUUCCUGGGUCUCAGGCAGCCCUGAGCACACGGUGGCUGACCUCAGCGUGCAACCCCUCCAGAGUCGACCGGGUACCAUGCAGCCCACGGCCCCCAGGUCAAUGAAGAUGCUCUGUGGACAGGCCCACCCCCGGACAGGACCUCCCAGGAGCCACGACCAGACUUUUAUUUCUUGGACAAGCACCGCCUGGAUCAGAAUCAGGAAACCCGCUGUGCCUGGAAACCUCUGUGUAGCCCCGGAUGCUGCUCGGCGACACUCCACUCACCCAGAUCCCGGGGCAUCCGGCUGGAGCGCUGGGGUGCCGUUGGAGGCAUGGUGGGUGUCCAUCCCUGC